CAGAAAUUUGUGACAAUUCCCAUCAGCUACUGUGUCAGACUACGCAGGGAAGCCACUGAAAUUCACAAACACUGGGACAGUUUCAAUGAAAAGGAAGAGAGUCUGAAAAUCAACAAAACCUGGCUACCAGGACUAAA
Long non-coding RNA from Sphaerodactylus townsendi, 137 nucleotides. RefSeq lists it as uncharacterized. The record is from RefSeq and is a predicted model, not a curated record. The transcript has 4 exons. Lineage: Eukaryota; Metazoa; Chordata; Lepidosauria; Squamata; Sphaerodactylidae.